This 509-nucleotide ribosomal RNA is filed under the name uncultured Lachnospiraceae bacterium. RNAcentral's name for it is "partial 16S ribosomal RNA". Lineage: Bacteria; Bacillati; Bacillota; Clostridia; Lachnospirales; Lachnospiraceae. The record is from RNAcentral.
CACGUAGUUAGCCGGGGCUUCUUGGUCAGGUACUGUCAUUUUCUUCCCUGCUGAUAGAGCUUUACAUACCGAAAUACUUCUUCACUCACGCGGCGUCGCUGCAUCAGGGUUUCCCCCAUUGUGCAAUAUCCCCCACCUGCUGCCUCCCGUAGGAGUUUGGGCCGUGUCUCAGUCCCAAUGUGGCCGUCCGCCCUCUCAGGCCGGCUACUGAUCGUCGCUUUGGUAGGCCGUUACCCUGCCAACUGGCUAAUCAGACGCGGGUCCAUCAUAUACCACCGGAGUUUUUCACACCGGGGCAUGCGCCCCUGUGCGCUUAUGCGGUAUUAGCACCUAUUUCUAAGUGUUAUCCCCCUGUAUAUGGCAGGUUACCCACGCGUUACUCACCCGUCCGCCACUAGGGCGUGAAAAGUUUGAAGUCUAGUAAACUAUCCCUCUCGCACAUCACGCCCCCGUUCGACUUGCAUGUGUUAAGCACGCCGCCAGCGUUCAUCCUGAGCCAGGAUCAAACU